GAUGAACGCUGGCGGCGUGCCUAAUACAUGCAAGUCGAGCGAACAGACGAGGAGCUUGCUCCUCUGACGUUAGCGGCGGACGGGUGAGUAACACGUGGAUAACCUACCUAUCAGACUGGGAUAACUUCGGGAAACCGGAGCUAAUACCGGAUAAUAUAUUGAACCGCAUGGUUCAAUAGUGAAAGACGGUUUUGCUGUCACUUAUAGAUGGAUCCGCGCCGCAUUAGCUAGUUGGUAAGGUAACGGCUUACCAAGGCAACGAUGCGUAGCCGACCUGAGAGGGUGAUCGGCCACACUGGAACUGAGACACGGUCCAGGCUCCUACGGGAGGCAGCAGUAGGGAAUCUUCCGCAAUGGGCGAAAGCCUGACGGAGCAACGCCGCGUGAGUGAUGAAGGUCUUCGGAUCGUAAAACUCUGUUAUUAGGGAAGAACAAAUGUGUAAGUAACUAUGCACGUCUUGACGGUACCUAAUCAGAAAGCCACGGCUAACUACGUG
RNAcentral lists this ribosomal RNA (497 nucleotides) under uncultured bacterium. RNAcentral's name for it is "partial 16S ribosomal RNA". It matches the Rfam family "Bacterial small subunit ribosomal RNA", at positions 28 to 507 of the family's 1533-position model. The record is from RNAcentral.